This is a non-coding RNA of Felis catus (domestic cat), 46 nucleotides long. NCBI's taxonomy places the organism in Eukaryota, Metazoa, Chordata, Mammalia, Carnivora, Felidae. The record is from Rfam.
CUAAAGGCCCUUUUCAGGGCCACCUAUCCAUGCACUAGAAGGAGCU